This 348-nucleotide unclassified non-coding RNA is filed under the name soil metagenome. RNAcentral's name for it is "partial contains 5.8S ribosomal RNA, internal transcribed spacer 2, and large subunit ribosomal RNA". The stretch from base 1 to 120 matches the Rfam family "5.8S ribosomal RNA", at positions 35 to 154 of the family's 154-position model. The record is from RNAcentral.
GAUGAAGAACGUAGCGAAAUGCGAUAAGUAAUUUGAAUUGCAGAAUUCAGUGAAUCAUCGAGUCUUUGAACGCACAUUGCGCCCCCUGGUAUUCCGGGGGGCAUGCCUGUCCGAGCGUCAUUGCUGCCCUCAAGCACGGCUUGUGUGUUGGGCCCCGCCCCCCGGCUCCCGGGGGGCGGGCCCGAAAGGCAGCGGCGGCACCGCGUCCGGUCCUCGAGCGUAUGGGGCUUCGUCACCCGCUCCGUAGGCCCGGCCGGCGCCCGCCGGCGACCCCCCUCAAUCUUUUCAGGUUGACCUCGGAUCAGGUAGGGAUACCCGCUGAACUUAAGCAUAUCAAUAAGCGGAGGA